UAAUACGAAGGAUGCGAGCGUUAUCCGGAUUUAUUGGGUUUAAAGGGUGCGUAGGCGGCUUUAUAAGUCAGUGGUGAAAUCCUAUCGCUUAACGAUAGACGUGCCAUUGAUACUGUAGAGCUUGAGUACAGAUGCCGUUGGCGGAAUGUGUCAUGUAGCGGUGAAAUGCAUAGAUAUGACACAGAACACCGAUUGCGAAGGCAGCUGACGAAACUGUAACUGACGCUGAUGCACGAAAGCGUGGGGAUCAAACAGGAUUA
Molecule: ribosomal RNA, 260 nt
Filed under: uncultured bacterium
Lineage: Bacteria
Description: partial 16S ribosomal RNA
Rfam family: Bacterial small subunit ribosomal RNA
Source: RNAcentral